RNAcentral lists this ribosomal RNA (465 nucleotides) under uncultured bacterium. Its description in RNAcentral is "partial 16S ribosomal RNA". It matches the Rfam family "Bacterial small subunit ribosomal RNA", at positions 28 to 507 of the family's 1533-position model. The record is from RNAcentral.
GACGAACGCUGGCGGCGUGCUUAACACAUGCAAGUCGAACGGAAAGGCCCCUUUGGGGGUACUCGAGUGGCGUACGGGUGAGUAACACGUGAGUAACCUGCCCUUGACUUCGGGAUAACUUCAAGAAACUGGGGCUAAUACCGGAAAGGAAUCCUUGCUGCAUGGUGGGGGUUGGAAAGCUUCGGCGGGUUUGGAUGGACUCGCGGCUUAUCAGCUUGUUGGUGGGGUAGUGGCUUACCAAGGGCUUGACGGGUAGCCGGCCUGAGAGGGCGACCGGCCACAUUGGGACUGAGAUACGGCCCAGACUCCUACGGGAGGCAGCAGUGGGGAAUAUUGCACGAUGGGCGGAAGCCUGAUGCAGCAACGCCGCGUGCGGUAUGACGGCCUUCGGGUUGUAAACCGCUUUCAGCAGGGGCGAAGCUUGUGGUGACGGUACCUGCAGAAGAAGCACCGGCUAACUACGUG